AACGAACGCUGGCGGCGUGCCUAACACAUGCAAGUCGAACGAGAAAGGGAUUUCGGUCCUGAGUAAAGUGGCGCACGGGUGAGUAACACGUAGGUAACCUACCUCUAAGUUUGGGAUAACCUGUCGAAAGAUGAGCUAAUACUGAAUAAGACCACAGUUUCCUCGGAAGCAGGGGUCAAAGGUAGCCUCUAUUCAUAAGCUAUCACUUAGAGAUGGGCCUGCGUACCAUUAGCUAGUUGGUGAGGUAACGGCUCACCAAGGCAAAGAUGGUUAGCUGGUCUGAGAGGAUGAUCAGCCACACUGGAACUGAGACACGGUCCAGACUCCUACGGGAGGCAGCAAUGGGGAAUAUUGCGCAAUGGGCGAAAGCCUGACGCAGCAACGCCGCGUGAGUGAUGAAGGCCUUCGGGUCGUAAAGCUCUGUCGGAGGGAACGAAUGCUCUGAGGUUAACAGCCUCAGGAAGUGACGGUACCCUCAAAAGGGAA
Molecule: ribosomal RNA, 486 nt
Filed under: uncultured bacterium
Lineage: Bacteria
Description: bacterial SSU rRNA
Rfam family: Bacterial small subunit ribosomal RNA
Source: RNAcentral